This is a non-coding RNA of Oryctolagus cuniculus (rabbit), 299 nucleotides long. NCBI's taxonomy places the organism in Eukaryota, Metazoa, Chordata, Mammalia, Lagomorpha, Leporidae. The record is from RefSeq and is a predicted model, not a curated record.
AUCCCGCUACAGCUAUUCUCGGCAGUUCCUGACUUUCUUUGAAGAGUGGGACACGGGUGUGCGGAAAACCGCGAAACAGCAGGAAAGACUAACUAGGAUGCUUCACGACCACCGAAGGCUUUUCCUGCAAGCUAAAAAUGUUCAAAUGGAGACGCUGACUACAGUUAAGAACCUGUAUGAGGAAUUCUUAAAGGGUAUCAACGACUUGGAGCUGAGCCAGCAAAGCCUGCUUACUGAUGAGCAAAAGAAGCUCAAAAACGAAAUUGACAUCUUGAAGAACAAAAUUAUUGCUGCAACUG